UGGGGAAUAUUGCACAAUGGGGGAAACCCUGAUGCAGCAACGCCGCGUGAAGGAUGAAGGUUUUCGGAUUGUAAACUUCUUUUGUACGGGACGAAACAAAUGACGGUACCGUAAGAAUAAGCCACGGCUAACUACGUGCCAGCAGCCGCGGUAAUACGUAGGUGGCGAGCGUUAUCCGGAUUUACUGGGUGUAAAGGGCGAGUAGGCGGGAUUGUAAGUCAGAUGUGAAAUCUGGGGGCUCAACUCCCAAACUGCAUUUGAAACUAUAAUUCUUGAGUGAUGGAGAGGCAGGCGGAAUUCCCGGUGUAGCGGUGGAAUGCGUAGAUAUCGGGAGGAACACCAGUGGCGAAGGCGGCCUGCUGGACAUUAACUGACGCUGAGGAGCGAAAGCGUGGGGAGCAAACA
This is a ribosomal RNA of 405 nucleotides. It matches the Rfam family "Bacterial small subunit ribosomal RNA", at positions 355 to 774 of the family's 1533-position model.